This is a long non-coding RNA of Asterias rubens (European starfish), 134 nucleotides long. RefSeq lists it as uncharacterized. The transcript is spliced from 2 exons. Lineage: Eukaryota; Metazoa; Echinodermata; Asteroidea; Forcipulatida; Asteriidae. The record is from RefSeq and is a predicted model, not a curated record.
AGGUUAUUUCAAAGAACUGCAGGAGGACUUAUUGAAAAUGCUAAAGAGAAACAGUAUUUGUCACUCUGUCAGCUCGGGAGGAGACACUAGUUCCACCCUAUCUAGAGUAGAUGCGAUUCUAACUGCAAAGGAAG